Molecule: small nuclear RNA, 117 nt
Filed under: Notamacropus eugenii (tammar wallaby)
Lineage: Eukaryota; Metazoa; Chordata; Mammalia; Diprotodontia; Macropodidae
Source: RNAcentral
GUGUUAAAUUUGACUAAACUUAGAAGCACAUAUACUAAAACUGGAACAAUAAAAAGAAAAUGAGUGUGGUCCUUGCUCAAUGAUGACAUGCAAAUUUGUAAAGAAUUCCUUAUUUAA